RNAcentral lists this ribosomal RNA (466 nucleotides) under uncultured bacterium. RNAcentral describes it as "partial 16S ribosomal RNA". It matches the Rfam family "Bacterial small subunit ribosomal RNA", at positions 28 to 507 of the family's 1533-position model. The record is from RNAcentral.
GACGAACGCUGGCGGCGCGCCUAACACAUGCAAGUCGAACGAGCGAGAGAGAGCUUGCUUUCUCGAGCGAGUGGCGAACGGGUGAGUAACGCGUGAGGAACCUGCCUCAAAGAGGGGGACAACAGUUGGAAACGACUGCUAAUACCGCAUAAGCCCACGGUGCCGCAUGGCAUAGAGGGAAAAGGAGCAAUCCGCUUUGAGAUGGCCUCGCGUCCGAUUAGCUAGUUGGUGAGGUAAUGGCCCACCAAGGCGACGAUCGGUAGCCGGACUGAGAGGUUGAACGGCCACAUUGGGACUGAGACACGGCACAGAAUCCUACGGGAGGCAGCAGUGGGGAAUAUUGCACAAUGGGGGAAACCCUGAUGCAGCGACGCCGCGUGGAGGAAGAAGGUCUUCGGAUUGUAAACUCCUGUUGUUGGGGAAGAUAAUGACGGUACCCAACAAGGAAGUGACGGCUAACUACGUG